Cyprinus carpio (common carp) is the source of this 683-nucleotide long non-coding RNA. RefSeq lists it as uncharacterized. The record is from RefSeq and is a predicted model, not a curated record. The transcript has 3 exons. NCBI's taxonomy places the organism in Eukaryota, Metazoa, Chordata, Actinopteri, Cypriniformes, Cyprinidae.
AGGAUUUUGGACAGUCCUGUGUGGUCGGCUGCUCGCUUCGGGCCUGGGGAGAGCUCAAGGGUCAUUACCCACUGUCUAUACUCAAUGAAGAUCUUCCAGAAGGACCAGAAGAUUUUUUCUGGUAGCAUUCAGCCUGCACUGAGAGGUCAUGCGAUCCCUUGGAAAAACAGCAUUAGCUGGCUACUUUUAUGUACGCUGCAAUGUAUUUCUUUCCUCUUGUUUUCAGUUCAAUGGAUUUUACAGUGAGAGAGUACGGCCCUACAGAGUUUACCAGCCUCCGGCUAUUGCCAACUGUCCUCUGUCAUGGUGUGAUUAUCCAGAAAAAAACGACAGUGCUGAGGGCAUCCUGGAGUUUGGUUGCGGGUUCGAGCCUCAGGUCCGGAUGGAAUUGUCGAUGGGGGGGUGAAUAACCAGCGCUCUCUUUCCACCCUCAAUACCACGACUGAGGAGGAUGUAGGAAUUCUAUCCACCCCUGGAUUGAGGCAUGUUGGAUCCUAUGGGAAGGUCACAGCAGAGUUUAUCUCCAAAGGUUUGACUGCUGAACCUGAUUCAGAUUAUAUCCCUGCUCAAUGGCUCCAUCACCUUUCAGAAUGGCCAAACCCUCAGCUAUAUCAAUGUUUCCAUAGUGGAUGACACAGAGAGGUAAGGAUGGGGUUAAUAAUCUUGCUAUAUAUUCUCUCAUU